This 373-nucleotide ribosomal RNA is filed under the name uncultured bacterium. RNAcentral describes it as "bacterial SSU rRNA". It matches the Rfam family "Bacterial small subunit ribosomal RNA", at positions 525 to 896 of the family's 1533-position model. The record is from RNAcentral.
ACAGAGGGGGCAAGCGUUAUUCGGAAUUAUUGGGCGUAAAGGGCGCGUAGGCGGCAUGGCAAGUGGAUGGUGAAAUCCCUCGGCUUAACCGAGGAACUGCCAUCCAGACUGCUUUGCUUGAGGCCGGGAGAGGUGAGUGGAAUUCCCAGUGUAGCGGUGAAAUGCGUAGAUAUUGGGAGGAACACCAGUGGCGAAGGCGGCUCACUGGACCGGUUCUGACGCUGAGGCGCGAAAGCGUGGGGAGCAAACGGGAUUAGAUACCCCGGUAGUCCACGCCGUAAACGAUGAGUGCUUGGUGUAGCGGGUAUCGACCCCUGCUGUGCCGAAGUCAACACAUUAAGCACUCCGCCUGGGGAGUACGGUCGCAAGGCUG